Phasianus colchicus (ring-necked pheasant) is the source of this 1568-nucleotide long non-coding RNA. Lineage: Eukaryota; Metazoa; Chordata; Aves; Galliformes; Phasianidae. The record is from Ensembl.
GGUCAGGGGAUCUUUUGGGGUUUUUGGGGCUCUUUUGGGGUCAGGGGAUCUUUUGGGGUUUUUGGGGCUCUUUUGGGGUCAGGGGCUCUUUUCGGGUCUUUUGGGCUCUUUUGGGGCCAUGGGAUCUUUUGUGGUCCGAGGCUCUUUUGGGGUCAGGGGCUCUUUUGGGGUUUUUGGGGCUCUUUUGGGGUCAGGGGCUCUUUUGGGGUCUUUUGGGCUCCCUUGGGGUCAGGGGACCUUUUGGGAUCAGGGGGUCUUUCGGAACCUCGUCUUUUGGGUUUUAUUCCUUUCUGCUCUUUUUUGGGGUUUUUUUUUGGGGGGGGGAAUUUUCUGAUUCUUUUUUUCCCCAAUUUUGACACUUUUUGUCCCCAAAAAAAGAGACCAACGGGACGGUGCCGGUGGAGGUCCGGGUCACUAAUAGGGUUUUUGAGGAGGAUUUCCGUGACAACACGUCGGAUGCGUAUCGAGACUUCGUGCGGGGCUUCAGCAAGCAGAUGGACGAGGUCUAUAAGAACAUCGAGGGCUACCGCGGCAUCCAGGUCCUACAGCUCAGGUACGGGGGGCCCCAAAAAAACCCCAUUGGGGGGCGGUGGGGGGGAGAGAUUGGGGUCCCCCAUCCCAACCCCAUUGGUGGAGGUUUUGGGGUCCCCCAUCCCACCCCAUUGACGCAGUUUUUGGGGUUCUCCAUCCCACCCCAUUAAGGAUCCAUGGGGUGAAGCUUUUGGGGUCCCCCAUCCCACCCCAUUGGGGAAGGUUUUGGGGUCUUCCAUCCCACCCCACAGAUGCAGUUUAUGGGGUCCCCCAUCCCACCCCAUUAAUGCUCAAUAGGGCGAAGGUUUUGGGGUCCCCCCUCCCAACCCAUUGGUGGAGGUUUUGGGGUCCCCCCUCCCACCCCACUGAUGCAGUUUUUGGGGUCCCCCAUCCCAACCCCAUUGGUGGAGGUUUUGGGGUCCCCCAUCCCACCCCAUUGGUGCAGUUAUUGGGGUUCUCCAUCCCACCCCAUUAAGGCUCCAUGGGGUGAAGAUUUUGGGGUCCCCCAUCCCACCCCAGUGAUCCAGUUUUUGGGGUCCCCCAUCCCACCCCAUUGGUGGAGUUAUUGGGGUCCUCCAUCCCACCCCCAUUAAUGCUCAAUAGGGUGAAGGUNNNNNNNNNNNNNNNNNNNNNNNNNNNNNNNNNNNNNNUGCAGUUAUUGGGGUCCCCCUUCCCACCCCAUUGAUGCAGUUAUUGGGGUCCCCCCUCCCACCCCACUGAUGCAGUUUUUGGGGUCCCCCCUCCCACCCCAUUAAUCCACAAUAGGGUGAAGGUUUUAGGAUCCCUCAUCCCACCCCACUGAUCCAGUUUUUGGGGUCCCCCAUCCCACCCCAUUGAUGCUCCAUGGGGUGAAGCUUUUGGGGUCCCCCAUCCCACCCCACUGACGCAGUUUUUGGGGUCCUCCAUCCCACCCCAUUAUUAGGGUCCCCCAUCCCACCCCACCGAUGCAGUUUUUGGGGUCCCCCAUCCCACCCCAUUAAUCCACAAUAGGGUGAAGGUUUUAGGAUCCCUCAUCCCACCCCACUGAUCCAGUUUUU